UACAGAGGGUGCGAGCGUUAAUCGGAAUUACUGGGCGUAAAGCGUGCGCAGGCGGUUAUGCAAGACAGAUGUGAAAUCCCCGGGCUCAACCUGGGAACUGCAUUUGUGACUGCAUGGCUGGAGUGCGGCAGAGGGGGAUGGAAUUCCGCGUGUAGCAGUGAAAUGCGUAGAUAUGCGGAGGAACACCGAUGGCGAAGGCAAUCCCCUGGGCCUGUCCUGACGCUGAGGCGCGAAAGCUAGGGGAGCGAACAGG
RNAcentral lists this ribosomal RNA (253 nucleotides) under uncultured bacterium. RNAcentral's name for it is "partial 16S ribosomal RNA". It matches the Rfam family "Bacterial small subunit ribosomal RNA", at positions 524 to 776 of the family's 1533-position model. The record is from RNAcentral.